UGUUAAAAAGACAAAAUGAGUGACCCUGCAGCUGAAAAGAAGGAAGAGAAAUGUUCUCAUGAGGAGGAAGGAUCAGGAUCAGGAUCAGAGGGAGAAGGAUCAGGAGUAAGAAAAGUUUCACAUGUGCUUUCUGUUGUUUUGCUCUGUUGAUUCUGUAAUAUUGUAGCAUUCAUGAGUUUAUUUGUCUUUAUCACUUACAGGGAGAAGGAAAAGGAAAGGUACAACUUCAGCAGCCUUUUGGAAUUGAAAGUUUGCUGCCAUCUGAGUUACAAUACGUUUUUAAUCACUUAAUUUUCUAACGGUUGUUUACAGGGGAAAGAGAAAAAGCAUGGAAAAGGAGGUGAACAUGGCCAUGGAGGUGGAAGAGGAGGUGGACAAGGAAGAGGAGGCGGACAAGGAAGAGG
Long non-coding RNA from Pundamilia nyererei, 404 nucleotides. RefSeq lists it as uncharacterized. The transcript has 3 exons. Lineage: Eukaryota; Metazoa; Chordata; Actinopteri; Cichliformes; Cichlidae. The record is from RefSeq and is a predicted model, not a curated record.